GACGAACGCUGGCGGCGUGCCUAAUACAUGCAAGUAGAACGCACAGUUUAUACCGUAGCUUGCUACACCAUAGACUGUGAGUUGCGAACGGGUGAGUAACGCGUAGGUAACCUGCCUGGUAGCGGGGGAUAACUAUUGGAAACGAUAGCUAAUACCGCAUAAUAUUAAUUAUUGCAUGAUAAUUAAUUGAAAGGUGCAAUUGCACCACUACCAGAUGGACCUGCGUUGUAUUAGCUAGUAGGUGAGGUAACGGCUCACCUAGGCGACGAUACAUAGCCGACCUGAGAGGGUGAUCGGCCACCCUGGGACUGAGACACGGCCCCGACUCCUGCGGGAGGCAGCAGUAGGGAAUCUUCGGCAAUGGACGAAAGUCUGACCGAGCAACGCCGCGUGAGUGAAGAAGGUUUUCGGAUCGUAAAGCUCUGUUGUAAGAGAAGAACGGGUGUGAGAGUGGAAAGUUCACACUGUGACGGUAUCUUACCAGAAAGGGACGGCUAACUACGUG
Molecule: ribosomal RNA, 505 nt
Filed under: uncultured bacterium
Lineage: Bacteria
Description: partial 16S ribosomal RNA
Rfam family: Bacterial small subunit ribosomal RNA
Source: RNAcentral